This 18383-nucleotide long non-coding RNA is filed under the name Lactuca sativa (garden lettuce). RNAcentral describes it as "long non-coding RNA (LSAT_LNC000548)". Lineage: Eukaryota; Viridiplantae; Streptophyta; Magnoliopsida; Asterales; Asteraceae. The record is from RNAcentral.
AGACGACAAUGCCACAAGGAUGCUUUAUCCAUACUAGUGGAAGAAUCAAUAUUCAAAACAUCAUUUCCUAAGUUAUCAACAAUCAUAACGGUUUCAUAUAUUCCAUUACAUGGUAUAGCUUCAAAGUAAAAGACACCAUUUAGAUAAGCCAAAAUAGAACCAUUCUCAUUAUUAAAAGAAAAUCUAAAUCCUUGUCUAUAUAAACCAUGAAAUGAAAUGAUGUUUCUUGCCAUUUCUGGCGAAUAGCAACAAUUGUUCAAAUCUAAAACUAAACUAUUCCUAAGCACUAAAGAAUACACUCCAAUCUUGGUCACAGGCGACGAUCUUCUGUUCCCCAUGAUUAGAUUGAUCCUUCCUUGCUCCACAUCCCUACUUCUUCUUAGUCCCUGCACAUUAGAACAAAUGUGAUAACCACAACCGGUAUCAAGAACCCAAGAAAUAGCAUGAUUAGAAUCGUUAGAUUUGAUUGUGUAUAUACCUGCGAAAGAUGGCUUGAUCUUUCCUUCUUUGAUUGCUUGCAGGUAAUCUGGGCAGCUUCUCUUCCAAUGUCCUAUCUUGUGGCAGUGGUGGCACUCUGCCUCCUUCGGGUUAGAGCAGGGCUUAGCGGGAUCAACUUUGGUCCCACUAGAAGAGGCACCAUCUCGGGCUUUCACCUUGCGAUAGUUCUUCGAUGAAGCUUUCCUCUUCUUUCCCUUUCCUUGACCAAUAGCCAAGACAGGAGCAGCGGGCGGAUUGGGAGUAGGUGCAACAGACUUGUCCUUGAAGUUGCUCUCAGCGACCCUCAAGAGACCUUGGAGUUUGCUUAGGGUGACCUCUUCUUUGUUCAUGUGGUAGGUCAUCCUAAAUUGGUUGUACAUCGGAGGCAAAGAGUGAAGCACCAUGUCGAUCGCCAAGUCUUCACCGAAGUCAACAUUUAACUUGCGAAGGCGGUCGACAUACCUUUGCAUCUUUUGCAAGUGCACGGUAAGAGAUUCUCCAUGACCCAUCUUCGCGGAAAUCAUGUUAGUGAAAAUCUCGUACCUCUCUUGUCUCGCGUUUUGGUGGUACCUCUCCAAUAAGUCUUGAUGCAUCUCGUACGGGUACAUGUCCUCGUAGGACUUUUGGAAUUCGGAGUUCAUGGUGGCGAUCAUGAUGCAAUGUACCUUCGUUGCAUCUCGCUCAUGAGUCUCAAAAGCGGUGAUUUCGGCGGGAGUAGCGAUUUCGGGGUUGAUUUUCUCGAGCUUCUCAUCGAGGACAUACUCCUUAUCCUCAUAGCGAGCAAUGGUGCGAAUGUAUCUUAUCCAUUCGCUAAAGUUCGUUCCAUCGAAGGUGACCUUUUGGCAAAGGCUCAUCAACGUGAAAGAACUAGCAGCAGCGUUGUUUGCGUUCGACAUCUACAAUUAGAAAAGGACAAAGAUAGAUUAGAAUAAGAAUCCCUAAUUAUCACCCAAUAAGAAAAUUAGGGCUAGGAUCCAACAAUAACAUUUACAUACUAGAAAAGGGAUGCCGUAAUCUAACAUGCAAAUAAAUUGAAGGUAAGUGAAUGACGAUUCACUAAUUCUCCAUCACAAAACUUAAACUAUUAGUCCUAAGUGUUUUUGAGAAUUCCUAGGUUCGGAUGAGAUUCAUUGAAACUAUUCAAUGGCAUGUUUAAAUCUCGAUAUGCCCCUCUUGUUUGUGACUGGGAUACCGAGGAUCACAAAGCGGGUGUGAAUUACCAUGCAAAUUCACAUGGUGCCUUCAUUGUAACGAUCACCUAUUCGAUGUGCCGGUAAACCACACACGCUCCAUCGAACUAUGAUAAACAAUGAAUCACCCUUUGCCACCUUCGCUUAGAACCAAUUAGUGUGCCGGUAAACCACACACGCUCCACUAACAUCUUAGCAAGGUGCAAAGUGUAAUUUCAUGGGAUUGCAUCAAUUCACUUUUCCUAAAGUAACUAGGAUUGGGAAAUUUUAAAAUAUGUGUAGUUACUUUGUAUUUCUUAUUAUACUUUUAAUGAGAGGAUGAGGUUGCCCUAUCCUACCCGUUCGGCUAACGACCCUCCACCAAUCAAGCAAGCGGUGGGUGUGAGUGUACACCCAUUAAGCGCCAUUUUAUAGGCCGCAACCUUAUACCCACCUUAUAGAUCGGCUUCGUGAAUGAGGCCUACUAACGGUAAGACUAGCAUUUAGUUAUACAUAUAUAUAUUAUUCUAGUAAUAUCAUAUUAGUAUAGGGUUGUAUUUUAAAACUUUUAAAAUCUAGGGUUUGAAAUUUAAGUUGUCUAAAUUAAAACUUUUAAUCACAAAAGUAAAUUUCAAAACAUGAGGGUAGGUUUUAAACAUUUAAAACAUGGAGGAUCAAAUAACAAAUAAUUCCAAUUAACAAUUAAUAUCCUAAUUAUCUAUAUUUGAUUUAUUCAAGAUUUCUUUUAAGAUAAUUACCAAAAUAAUCAAAAUAAUUAAUUAAUUAUCAUAUAAGGAAAUUAAAUAUUUAAUUAGUUGAUAAUUACCUUUAACUAGAUCAAGAUAAUAGUUAUAUUUAUCAGAAAAACGAAUUAAUAUUGAUCUAAUUAGUUUAUGGUAAGUUAAGAUAAGAUAAACACAAAGAAAUCCCGAAUCUGGCCAUUCCUGACGCCUGGACUCGCCGAGUGCACAAGGGGACUCGCCGAGUCAGGCCUACUCGCCGAGUCCACCUUGGGACUCGCCGAGUCAGUGACUCAGAAACCAAAAAAUCGAAUUUUGCAGGUUUGUUUCAGUUAAUCAAGCAACAAUUUAAAGAAAACCAAGCUAGGCUCUGAUACCACUGAUGGGUUUUAGCCAUAAGAACUUUCCUAUGUGCGCAUGCAAAACCCUAUUGCUCGGAUCUAGGCUUUCUAAUUAAACAUGCUUUGAAUCCAAGACUUCUAAUAGCUAAUUAGGUUAAAUAACAACAUCGAAACAGAUCUAGAAUCAUACCUUUGAGUUCCUUGUUGAUCUUGUUGUCUUGGAGCUUCUAGAGUCACAAAUGUCACUCCUCUAAUGGCUUACAAACACCAAUAGCAAGCAAGAUGAUUUAGGAGAGAGGAGAAGGGAGGAAUUCGGCCAGAGGUUCCUUACUUUAGGUUGUGUGUCGAAUUCCCUCACCCCUAGGGUCUAUUUAUACUUGUAGACUCCUUAAGGGUUACCACCUAAACCCUAAUUGGAUAAUCUUCUCUUAAGGCUAUCCAAAUCCAUUCCAUAGAUAACCCUAUGGACGAUUUUGGCUUAUCCAAGCCCUAGAAAUCGUCCAUCCUAUCUAGGAUAAGGAUUUAUAGUCUAAAGUGUAACUAUCAACCAAUUGACAGUUUAUACCCUCUUAUUUAAUUAAUCUCUUUAAGUCACCAAAUUAAUUCGAAUUAAUUUAUGACUUAUAUUAAUCAAAUAACCAAAUAUUAUUCCUUAUAAUAUUUACUCUCUUUUUAACAAAUCAUCCAUCAAGUUGCUAUGGUGAAGGCAACCCAAAAGGACCAUGCACAACCGGAUAUAGUUACAGCCUUAGACACUAUUCCAACACUUUGGACGAACCUACACAAACUACAAGUGAUACUUCUUCAGCAAAAAGUGCAUGUUGUGCACAUGCUUCAAAACGAAAGGCCAACAUUCACAGAAAUCCAAAACAGGUGGCUGAUCGCAAACAUCAAAAAAAUCUGAGAUACAAGAAGAAUCUCUCAGAGAGAAAACUGUUUUGGAAUUCUCAAAAUCCUGAUUUUGUAAGGAUUGAAAGGAAGCAAAAAUCACAAGAAGAAUCAAGGAACCGAAAGGAUGGGUUCGGUCCUUCAAUCAACAGGAACCGAAAGGAUGGGUUCGGUCCUUCAACCAAUAUGUAACAGCCCGAAAUCUCAGGUAUUGUUUAAUUAUGUUUUUGGGGUGAGUUGAGAGGGGACUCGGCGAGUUGGAGCCUAGACUCGCCGAGUAGGAUCGCAGACCUGGUCGCGGGUCCGCGACUGGACUCGACGAGUCCAGAUAUGGACUCGGCGAGUCGACGCUGUUCAGCAGAAACCCUAACCGUUCGGUUUUGGAUCGUAUAUAAUGCUCUUAUAUGCCGUCAUUGUUCGUUUUUAGUCGAUUGAGAGGAACCCUAAACGGUUGUGGGCAUCUAGAGCAAGAUUGGAGGAUAUUAGGGCUUGAAGAGGUUGUGGGGCAAAGAGGAGAAAGGUUUUGGCUAAAGGAACAGCAAAGGAUUCGAGUUCUGCGGUUUGGAGACACAGAGAGGGCAUAUUCCAGGUAAUAUUUCGGAUUCCCUUCUGUUGUUUGAUGUGUUUAUGAAGUUAGGGUUUAUGAAACCCAUUUAGUGAAUAGAUGGGUUAUUAUGUUAUUACCCAAACGUUUAUACCCCAGUAAUGAGAUGUUUAGAAGUCCAGAAAGUCCCAUGGUUGUAUAUCUCGGGACCACACGUAAUUCAGGAAGCAGUUGCUCGUCUGCAUGGCAUGGACUCGCCGAGUUGUUCUUCAGACUCGGCGAGUAGCUUGAAGAUUUACUGGGACUCGCCGAGUUGUUCUUCAGACUCGGCGAGUGGAGUCGGGGUGGCCCCGCGAUUCUUCCAGGAGUAACUCGUCGGGUCGAGGAGGAUACUCGACGAGUAGAUAAGGAAUCUCAGAAAGUUGGAGGACGUCUAGACUCGCCGAGUCGCCAUGGUACUCGCCGAGUCCGGUCGAGCUGACCGUUGACCGUUGACCAGAGUUGACCUAAGUCUGACUUCUUAGGGAUAGUCACACUUAGAUGAUAUGAGUGUUAAUGAGUUAUGUAAUGUUAUAGGAGGGUUGUAGCUCGUUGGUUUGUGCGCGAGUGAUUUCAGGAGUUGCUAGCUUUCAGCACUUACGAGGUGAGUCUUCUCACUAUACUGUACCCGGAAGGGUUUGACUGUGUGACCGGAAGGUCAAGUAUGUUAUGUAUUAUGUUUAUAUGCUAUAAGUGGUAAGUUAAGUGUUAUAUGGAUAUGUAUGCUAUAAGUGGUAAGUUAAGUGUUAUAUGGAUAUGUAUGCUAUAUGUGGUAAGUUAAGUGUUAUAUGUGCUAUGUAUGAUAUGUGGGCCGGAAGGCAAUAUGUUAUGGGCCGGAAGGCGAUUAUGUUAUGGGCCGGAAGGCGUUGUAAUGAGGACCGGAAGGUCAGGGCCUGGAAAGGCGUAUGUGCGUAAGUGUAUAUUGGGGAACUCACUAAGCAUUUAUGCUUACAGUUGUUGUGCAUGUAUUUCAGGUACUAGCGAGGACCGUGGGAAGGCGCCGGCAUGAUCGAUACACACUGAAGAUUGUUUUAUGAUCUUGGGAGUUUGAAUAAUUGUAUUGACCGAAUAAUUAAACUGUUUAUGCCUUGUUUUUAAUGGAAAUAAUUAUGUUUUAAAAAUGAAAAAUUUGUUUGAAAAAUUUGAGUUGUUACAAUUGGUAUCAGAGCCUUGGUUUGAGGGAUUCGGGUGCACCUUCGGGGGUAACUGAACUCAAACCGAGGAUUUGAGGAAACUUUUCAAAUAAAGGCAUAAACUUUUGUAAAUGGUUUUGUGGUAAGCAAGAAAGAAGCAGUGUGUACGAUCAGUCAGCGCCCGAACGGUAAAGAUCCCCAAAAUACCUUACAAUAUUAUAUGAUAUGAAUUGUUAUGCAUGCUAGAAGACUAGGUAUUCAUGAUAGGACUAGAGUGGCCUGAUUUGUGAUGCCUUAGUCUAGGGAAGUUGCCUAUAUGAGAUGCUUUGCUAGUAUGCGGGUAGAUAGAGCGUAUCAGAAGUAGAGUACUCACUAUCUGGAGUUUGGGGAGGAGGACUUGGGAUGAACAUUGAUGCGGUGUGGUCGGUAGUAUUGGGCCCGUACUACCGAGGACACCGGGUCAGUGGGAGGCCCAAGUAAGAAUCCCUGGAUAUCUGGGACUGAGUAGGGUUGCGUGUCGAGUACGAUUAUACUCGGUAGAAUCUCUGAUAGUUUUAUGUUGUAUUUCAGAGAUAUCAUGGUUAGACCGCGGCACGGGGCAAGUACGAGCGGUGUGAGUGACGAGGAUAUUCGUCAGAUGAUCCACGAGGAGGUGGCGGCGGCGAUCCGGGCUGAGAUCCCGGAGAUGUUUGGGUCUAUCAAGACCACCCUGAUGGAGACGUUCGACGAGCGGUACGCCGCAUUGACUGAGGCUGCAACCGCUGCAGCUACCGCAGCUGUGGCCGCUGCUAGGCCACAGGGGGGUGAUUCAUUGCUGUUCCGAGAGUUCAGCAACACGAAGCCACCAGAGUUCGAUGGGACGCAGGAUCCGAUUGCUGCGAUGAGGUGGAUCGCAGAUAUAGAGGGGUGCUUCUACACUUGUUCAUGCCCGGAGCACCUGAGGGUACGGUUCGCUUUGAACCAGCUCCGUCUGGGAGCCAAGGACUGGUGGAAGUUCGUGACGGCGAACUUCACUUUAGCAGAGACUGCGGCAGUGACAUGGGAGGGGUUCACUACCAUGUUCAGGGAUGAGUACGUUCCCCCGGUGGAGCGGGAACGAUUGGUUCAGGAGUUCUUAACCCUCAAGCAGGGUACUGAUUCGGUGGCGGCGAUCACGCGGAAGUUCCAUGAGAGGGCGAUGUUUUGCCCCGAGCUGGUGGCCACAGAGCAGGCUCGGAUGAGCCGGUACUUGGGUGUUCUGAGGAGGGAGAUCCGGGAGUUUGUGUCAAACUCCACUUACCAUACUUUUACUGAGCUUCAGGCGAAUGCCAGGAAGCGUGAGAUCGAGUUAGAGACUCAGGCCAGGGAGGAGGCCGAGUCUCAGCAGGCAGACCGGCGACCGGCUCAGUCUCAGCCGGCAGCCAAGCGGAUCAAGUCCGCCGAUUCGAGGACGGGAGGUUCGAAGAACCGCACUUGCGUAAAGUGCGGUAAGGGUCACGAUGGGGCGUGUCGAGCCGGUGCUUGCUACAAGUGUGGCAAGGAGGGACACAUUGCUAGGGAGUGUCCCAAGGGAUUUAUGGUUUGCUUUCAUUGCAACCAGACCGGCCAUCGGAAGGCCGAGUGCCCUCAGCUUCGUCAGGGAUCUGCACCUGUUGCCAGGACUACUGAGACUCGACCGGUGAAGGUCGAGGCCCCGAGGGCUCGUGGGAGAGCCUUUCAGCUGACUGCGGAGGAGGUCCGCGCUGCGCCCGAUGUUGUGGCAGGUAUGUUGUAAUUCAUGUAAUUAUUUUAAUGUCGAUAUGUUAUGCUUAUGUUAUUAUGCGCGUAGGUACUUUCCUUGUGAACUCUGUGCCUGCCUUAGUGUUAUUUGACUCGGGUGCGAGUAGGUCCUUUGUGUCCUUGGCCUUUAGUCAGCAUAUUGGCGUUAGUCGUGAGUCGUUGAGUCGACCUUUGAGAGUCUCUAUAGCUGACGAGAAGGUGAUUUGUGCUACGGAGGUUCUUCGGGGAUGUGUACUAGAGAUUUUCGGGGUUGGAUUCCCGAUUGACCUGAUUCCUAUCGCGAUGGGGGAUGUCUGUGUCAUCGUGGGCAUGGACUGGUUGAGCCGGUUCGGCGCUGUCAUCGACUGUGAGCGUCAGUUGGUGACUAUACGAGACCCAAGUGGGGGAGUUCUUUCGGUAUACGGCGAGGGUACCCGUUCGGGAUCAGCUUUUUGUUCGGCCGCUAGGGCGAGGCAGUGUCUACGGCAGGGCUGUAAGGGUUUCGUGGCGUAUGUGAUGGAUACGCGGGAGGUUUCUGAGAAACCGAAGUCAGUUGAGGAAGUUCCGGUGGUGCGCGAGUUUUCAGAUGUCUUUCCCGAGGAGUUGCCGGGAGUACCGCCUGUGAGGCAAGUAGAGUUUAGUAUCGAUCUGGUUCCGGGGGCAGCGCCUAUUGCUAAAGUGCCCUAUCGUCUUGCACCUCCAGAGAUGCAAGAGUUGUCCUCGCAACUCCAGGAGUUGCUGGGGAAGGGAUUCAUUCGGCCGAGCAGCUCGCCAUGGGGAGCACCUAUUCUGUUCGUCAAGAAGAAGGAUGGUUCACACCGGAUGUGCAUUGAUUACCGGGAGUUGAACAAGCUAACGGUCAAGAACCGUUACCCGUUGCCGAGGAUCGAUGAUUUAUUCGAUCAGUUGCAGGGAGCAUCUUGGUUUUCCAAGAUCGAUCUGAGGUCAGGAUACCAUCAGGUGAGAGUACGGGAUGAGGACGUCCAGAAGACAGCGUUUAGGACGCGAUAUGGGCAUUAUGAGUUUGUGGUGAUGCCUUUUGGACUCACCAAUGCCCCGGCUGUGUUCAUGGAUCUCAUGAACAGGGUAUGCAGGCCGAUGUUGGAUCGGUCAGUGAUUGUAUUUAUCGACGACAUUCUGGUGUAUUCGAGAUCUAGAGAGCAGCAUGAGGAGCAUUUGAGGGAGGUCCUUGAGGUAUUGAGGUCGGAGAAGCUUUAUGCAAAGUUCUCCAAAUGUGACUUCUGGUUGCGGGAGGUCCAGUUUCUAGGACAUGUGGUUAAUCAGAAAGGGAUAUUGGUCGAUCCGGCCAAGGUUGAGGCGGUGAUGAGUUGGGAGGUGCCGAAGUCACCCUCUGAGAUCAGAAGUUUCCUUGGGUUGGCAGGGUAUUAUCGGAGAUUUAUCAAGGAUUUCUCCAAGAUCGCAGUGCCACUCACCAGAUUGACCCGGAAGGGUGUUACAUUCUCAUGGGGGCCCGAGCAGCAGACCUCCUUUGAGACACUUCGCCAGAGAUUGUGCGAAGCCCCGGUAUUAGCUCUCCCAGAAGGGAUGGAAGAUUUCGUGGUAUAUUGCGACGCAUCGAUUUCGGGAUUGGGUGCAGUGUUGAUGCAGAGGGGUCAUGUGAUAGCUUAUGCGUCGAGGCAGCUGAAGCCUCAUGAGGCGAGAUAUCCCACGCAUGAUUUAGAGUUGGGGGCAGUAGUGUUCGCUCUCAAGAUUUGGCGUCACUACUUGUAUGGGGUUCGAUGUACGAUAUACACGGACCAUAAGAGUUUGAAGUAUUUGAUGGAUCAACCCAACCUAAAUAUGCGUCAGAGGAGGUGGUUGGAUGUGGUCAAGGAUUAUGAUUGUGAGAUCCUGUACCACCCAGGCAAGGCUAAUGUGGUAGCCGAUGCAUUGAGCCGCAGGGCGGAGAGCACUCCAUUGCGAGACGUAUGCUUGAGACUGACUGUGAUGACUCCAGUAUUGGACGCUAUUCGUGGGGCCCAGGCAGAGGCUGUGCGACCAGAAAUGCAGAAGAAAGAGCGGGUUGUGGGGUUAAUCUCAGAGUUUGUCAAGGAUAGUCGAGGCCUUAUGACGUUUCAGGGUCGGAUUUGGGUGCCGUUCGUGGGCGGUACGCGUAUUACGUUGAUGGAAGAGGCUCAUAAAUCGAAAUUCUCGAUCCAUCCCGGUGCUACAAAGAUGUAUUUGGAUUUAAGGAAGGAAUAUUGGUGGCCCUGUAUGAAGAGGGACGUGGCAUGGUUCGUUGAGAGGUGCUUGACCUGCCGUAGGGUUAAGGCUGAGCACCAGAGACCGCAUGGCAAGUUACAGCCAUUGGAGAUCCCCGAGUGGAAGUGGGAACAGAUUACUAUGGAUUUUAUCACCAAAUUGCCGAGGACUGCUAGGGGAGUUGACGCAAUUUGGGUGAUCGUGGAUAGGUUGACAAAGAGUGCACACUUCCUUGCCAUCAGUGAGAGUUCUUCGGCGGAGAAAUUGGCGGAGAUAUACGUGAGAGAGGUGGUAUCUCGGCACGGGGUGCCGAUCUCGAUUGUGUCAGACCGUGAUGUGCGCUUUACUUCCAGAUUCUGGAAGAAAUUCCAUGAGGAGCUGGGUACUAAAUUGCAUUUUAGUACCGCAUACCAUCCCCAGACAGACGGUCAGAGCGAGCGGACAAUUCAGACACUGGAGGACAUGCUCCGAGCGUGUGUGUUAGACUUCGGGGGUAGUUGGGAUGCGUAUUUACCAUUGGCAGAGUUUUCCUACAACAACAGCCAUCAUUCGAGCAUUGGUAUGCCGCCUUUCGAGCUGUUGUAUGGUAGGAGGUGUCGGACUCCCAUUUGCUGGGGAGAGGUGGGACAGAGAGUGAUGGGCAGCACGGAGAUCAUACUCCAGACGACAGAGCAGAUUCAACAAGUGAGACAAAGAUUAUUGACUGCCCAGAGCCGACAGAAGAGUUAUGCAGACAGGCGCCGAUCCGAGCUUGAAUUUCAGGUCGGCGACUUCGUUCUCCUGAAGGUCUCUCCUUGGAAAGGAGUGAUUCGGUUCAGGAAGAGAGGCAAGUUGGGGCCCCGGUAUAUUGGGCCAUUUCGUGUGAUUGCAAGGAUAGGUCGGGUAGCCUAUCGGUUGGAGUUACCAGCGGAGUUGGGUCAGAUCCAUGACACUUUUCAUGUGUCGCAGUUGAGGAAGUGCAUAGCCGAUGAGUCGGCAGUGGUUCCAUUGGAGGAUAUUCAGGUGGAUGCGAGCCUGAAUUACGCGGAGAGACCAGUGGCUAUCAGGGAUCGGAAGAUCAAGGUUCUGAGGAACAAGGAAGUACCUCUGGUGUUGGUUCAAUGGCAACACCGUAAGGGAUCAGAAAUGACUUGGGAACCGGAGCGCGAAAUGCGGGAGCAGCAUCCGGAACUAUUUGCAGAGUGAGACUUCGAGGGCGAAGUCUAAUCCAAGUGGGGGAGAAUUGUAACAGCCCGGAAUCUCAGGUAUUAUUAAAAUUAUGUUUUUUGGGUGAUUUAAGAGGGGACUCGGCGAGUUGGAGCCUAGACUCGCCGAGUAGGAUCGCAGACUUGGUCGCGGGUCCGCGACUGGACUCGACGAGUCCAGAUAUGGACUCGGCGAGUCGACGCUGUUCAGCAGAAACCCUAACCGUUCAGUUUGAAUCGUAUAUAACGCCUCUUAGGCCGUCAUUUUCCGUCUUUUGAUCGAUUGAAAGGAACCCUAAUCGUUGUGGACGUCUAGGGCAGGAGAGAAAGCUAUUGGAACUUGGAGGAACUUGUUAGACAAGAAGAAGAAGAAAUUGGCCAAAGGAAUAUCAAGGAGGAUCGAGUCCUGAGGUUUGGGGAACACAGAGGGAACGUUCUCAGGUAAUACUCGGAUCAAUUCUGUUAGUUAAUGUGUUUAUGAACCUAGGGUUUAUGAAAAACCCAUUUAGUGAUUAGAUGGGUUAUUAUGUUAUUACCCAGAUGUUAUACCCACAGUAAUGAGAUGUUUAGAAGUCCAGAGGGUCCCAUGGUUGUAUAUCUUGGGACCAUACGUAAUUCAGGAAGCAGUUACUCGUCUGCAUGGCAUGGACUCGCCGAGUUGUUCUUCAGACUCGGCGAGUAGCUUGAAGAUUUACUGGGACUCGCCGAGUUGUUCUUCAGACUCGACGAGUGGAGUCGGGGUGGCCCCGCGAUUCUUUCAAGGGUAACUCGUCGGGUCGAGGAGGGUACUCGACGAGUAGAUAAGGAAUCUCAGAAAGUUGGAGGACGUCUAGACUCGCCGAGUCGCCAUGGUACUCGCCAAGUCCGGUCGAGCUGACCGUUGACCAUUGACCAGAGUUGACCUAAGUCUGACUUCUUAGGGAUAGUCACCCUUAGAAGUUAUAAGUGUUAAUGAGAUAUGUGAUGUUAUAGGAAGGUUGUAGCUCGUCGGAUUGUGCACGAGUGAUUUCAGGAGUUGCUAGCUUUCAGCAUUUACGAGGUGAGUCUUCUCACUAUACUGUACCCGGAAGGGUUUGACUGUGUGACCGGAAGGUCGGAUAUGUUAUGUGAUAUGUAUGCUAUAUGUGGUAAGUUAAUUGUUAUGUGUGCUAUGUAUGAUAUGUGGGCCGGAAGGCAAUAUGUUACGGGCCGGAAGGCGAUUAUGUUAUGAGGACCGGAAGGUCAGGGCCUGGAAAGGCGUAUGUGCGUAAGUGUAUAUUGGGGAACUCACUAAGUAUUUAUGCUUACAGUUGUUGUGCAUGUAUUUCAGGUACUAGCGAGGACCGUGGGAAGGCGCCGGCAUGAUCGAUACACACUGAAGAUUGUCUUUAUGAUCUUGGGAUUUUGAAUAAUUGUAUUUGACAGAAUAUUUAAACUAUUUAUGCCUUGUUUAAAAUGGAAACAACUAUGUUUUUAAAAAUGAAAAAUUUGUUGAAAAAUUUGAGCUGUUACACAAUAGGAACCGAAAGGAUGGUUUCGGUCCUUCAACUGACAGGAACCAAAAGGAUGGUUUCGGUCCUUUGACCAAUAGGAACCGAAAGGGUGGUUUCGGCCCAAUGACUGAAAACAACCGAAAGGGCAGUUUCGGUCCAUUCUCCAUCUACAACCGAAAGAGCGGUUUCGGUCCCUCAUCCUACAACAACCAAAAGGAGAGUUUCGGUCCUUCAUCCAAUGUCAAAUGAAAUUGCAAUUUCGGUCCUCCUGCUUGCAAGUCUGAUCAACAAAACCGGGAAUCUAAUGUCUCUUCUAAAUCCAAUUCUCUAAAUUCCUGUUCCUCAGCCAAAAACCCCAGUUGGUCUUUGGUGAUCAUGUUCGAGGUCUACCAGUUCUAAAAUUUGAUAAAGAACAUCUCUAUGCAGCAUGUGAAAUGGGAAAGCAGAGUCGGAAGAGUCAUCCUUCUAUUAUCAAUACUAAGGUGAUAGAACCACUGGAAUUACUGCACAUUGAUCUAUGUGGUCCUUCGUCCAUCGAAAUCAUUGGGGGAAACAAAUACGUUCUGGUUAUUGUGGAUGAUUUCUCGAGGCUUACAUGGAUUUUCUUUCUCAAGCAAAAGUCUAAAGCUACUCCAAAGGUCAUGCUCUUCAUUAAACAAAUCGAGACACAACUAAGAAAGGUAGUCAGUAAUAUAAGGAGUGACAACGACCUGGAAUUCAAGAAUAAAGAAUUUGAAGGUUUUCUUGCUGAAAAAGGGACGACUCACAAUUUCUCAGCUCCCUAUACUCCGCAGCAAAAUGGCAUUGUUGAAAGGAGAAAUUGGUCACUAUGUGAAGCUGCUCCUACCAUGUUAUGCUUCAUGUCCUUGCCGUUAUAUUUCUGGGUUGAUGCAAUCGCGACUGCAUGUUAUACUCAGAAUCGAUCAUACUUGAAUAAACAAUUCUCAUCUACUCCUUACGAGAUCCUAAACAAUCGAAAACCAAACGUGAAAUUGUUUCAUGUGUUCGGUUCAAGAUGUUUCAUUUUCAACUCCAAAGAGAAUCAAAACAAGUUCGAUGUCAAGGCAGAUGAAGGAAUUUUCUUAGGAUGCUCCUUGAACUCCAAGGCGUAUAGAGUUCUCAAUAACGAUCGAAGAAAAUUGAAGAAACAUACUACGUCACUUUUGACGAUAGUUAUGUUAAGAAGUUGAAACCCAGAGAAGAUGCAUCACAAGACAUAUUUUCUAAGAAUGGUUUGGUUACUAUCUCUAUCUCGAAUCUUUUCGACCAAUUCAUGCUCUUGUUUGAUGAGCCUCAAAAGGCGAUUGACUCUAAAUCAAUUGCAAAAGACAACAAAGUUGAUAAUCUGAAAGAGGUUAUAGACGAAGUUACUAAGAAGAUGGCUGAAAAUCAAUCCAAAGACACCGAAUGCACAAACGCAACCGAACCUUCUAGUGACCAACCUACUGUCCAGGGGGAGGGUUCCUCUACUCCUCAUGAUCAAGGUCCUUCAUUCCAGGGAGAGAACUCAUCGCCAAAUUCAUCAAGCUCUACUGAAAUUCCAGUCAAUGUAGAAGAUACAAAUGCUAGUGGCUUAUUCUUCGAGGGGGAGAACACCAAUGUUGGUGAUGAUGACACCAUGUCUGAACUAGGGGAAGAAAUUAAUGUUGAACUAGAUCCUAUUUAUUAUUCAACGUUUCCUCCACUUGUCAAAUGGACCAAAGUGAUGGGUUUUAGCCAUAAGAACUUUCCUAUGUGCGCAUGCAAAACCCUAAUGCUUGGAUCUAGGCUUUCUAAUCAAACAUGCUUUGAAUCCAAGACUUCUAAUGACUAUUUAGGUGUAAUAACAAUAUUGAAACAGAUCUAGAAUCAUACCUUUGAAUUCCUUGUUGAUCUUGUUGUCUUGGAGCUUAUAGAGUCACAAUUGUCACUCCUCUAAUGGCUUACAAACACCAAUAGCAAGGAGGAUGAUUUGGAAUAGAGGAGAGGGGAGGAAUUCGGCCAGAGUCUCUCUACUUUAGAUGGUGUGUCGAAUUCCCUCAGCCAUAGGGUCUAUUUAUACUUGUAGACUCCUUAAGGGUUACAGCUUAAACCCUAGUUGGAUAACUUAGACUUUAAGUUAAUCCAUAUCCUUUCCUUGAUAACCCUAUGGACGAUUUUGGCUUAUCCUAGCCUUAGAAAUCGUCCAAUCCUUUAUCAAUAAGGAUUUACAGUCUAAAGUUUAACUAUCAAGCAAUUGACAGUUUAUACCCUCUUAUUUAAUUAAUAUCUUUAAGUCACCAAAUUAAUUCCAAUUAAUUCUAUGACUUAUAUUAAUCAAAUAACAAUAUAUUGUUCUUUAUAUUAUUCUCAUAAUAUACUAAUAAUAUUUACUCUCUCUUAAUAAAUCAUCCUAUCAAGUUGCUAUGGUGAAGGCAACCCAAAAGGACCAUGCACAACCGGGUCAAAUACUUGCCUAAUAUAGUUGUAGCCUUAGACACUAUUCCCACACUCUCCCACUUGGAUAAGUCUAGUAACUAUAUGCACAAGUACAAUUCGGUUUGCAAUCGUAGCUCUCAAAGACGCUGUCAAACUCUGAUCUAAUCAAUCUUGUCCUUUAGAUAAGGGAUCGUACAGUCCUCUGUUAGAUAUCAUGCUAACAAUACUAUGGAAUAGUUAGUCAAGCAUUUGGUUUCUCAAUUUCUGAUUUAUUUGACAUAGAACUUAAUCGAACACAUCAAUUCAGUUCUGACCGGGCCCGACACAUUAGUCAAAUCAAAUCAUCGAGCGGCCGAGAUAUCACUUUUUCUUUCUUAGGAUAAAAGUUACAAAUAAACUUCGACUUAUAUGCAUUUACUUAUUCAUUAACUAACCAUACACAACAAUGAGUUUUAUAACAUCGAGUUACCAAUGCGUUUUCGCAUUAUCAAUGUACAAUCACUUAACCAAUAACAAACCAUAUAUCUAGGUUUUAAGACUAUAUGAUAUUAUCGUAUUGCGAUCACCCUUUUAUAUCAUAUUCCAUUACGAUCUUCCAGCAAGCGCGGGUUUGUUCCAAUGCUCAAAACUAGUUCAUAAGCACUCAUGAACGUUGCAGCAAUCUUUUGCUAUGUCUAACACCAUUUAGACACUCUACAUACCUAUUCAUGACAAUCUUCAUUCAUAUCUACUUCUAACAUAUGAACUAUUGUGGACUAUUUGAAUAAUUCGAUUAUUCCUAAUAAACUCAAUUAUUUUGGAAGUCAAAACAUACAAAGUGAAACAAUAGUUAAACAAUUAACAUAAGAUAGUAACAUUACUUAUAAAUAAAACUCCUUUAUUUAAUCAUCAAAUGUUAAUUACAUUUAUCUAUUACACGUUUCUAAUACUAUCUAAUCUAUGCUAAUAUCAUCCUUCAGCCCAAUGCUCCUAGCAUGCUGCAAGUGCUUAACCCUACUCAGUCCCUUCGUAAGCGGAUCUGCUGGGUUAUCUUCUGAUGAUAUCCUCUUAACUACGAGUUGUCCUUCUUCUACACGAUGUCUAAUAAAGUGAUAUUUUCUGUUGAUAUGUCUUGAUCUACCAUGAUCCCUCGGUUCCUUGGUCAAGGCAACCGCUCCUUCGUUAUCACAGAAAAUCUCCAUGGGCUCCUUUAUAGCAGGUACAACUCCAAGAUCACCGAUGAAGUUCUUUAGCCAUAUUGCCUCCUUCGACGCUUCGCUCGCUGCAAUGUACUCUGAUUCGCACGUUGAAUCAGCUACGGUUUCCUGCUUGGAACUCUUCCAUGUCACUGCUCCUCCAUUUAGGGUAAAGACCCAGCCCGACUGCGAACGGUAGUUGUCCCUGUCGGUCUGAAAACUGGCGUCACUAUACCCUCGCACCUUCAAGUCAUCACUCCCUCCGAGGACUAAGAACCAUUCCUUCGUCCUCCGAAGGUACUUAAGGAUGUUUUUCACCGCAAUCCAAUGUGCUUUGCCAGGAUUCCCUUGAUAUCUGCUAACCAUGCUCAAAGCGAAGGCUACAUCAGGGCGAGUACAAGUCAUAGCGUACAUGAUUGAGCCAACUGCGGAAGCGUAUGGUACUCGGCUCAUUUCUGCUAUCUCAGCUUCGGUACUCGGACUUUGAGUCUUACUCAAUUUGGCAUUACUUUGUAUCGGUAGUUCUCCCUUCUUUGAGUUUUCCAUACUAAAACGUUUUAGUACCUUCUCUAAGUAAGUAUUCUGACUAAGUCCAAUUAGUCUCUUACUUCUUUCUCUUACUAUCCUUAUUCCUAAAGUAUAGGAAGCCUCUCCGAGGUCCUUCAUAGCGAAGCACCUCCAGAGCCAGGACUUAACCUCCUACACAGUCGGGACGUCGUUUCCUAUGAGUAAUAUGUCAUCGACAUAUAGAACGAGGAAGCUUACUAUACUCCCACUGGCUUUGACAUAUACACAAGAUUCGUCUUUGCUUCGUACAAAUCCAAACUCUUUGACUUUCUCAUCGAAGCAAAGAUUCCAUCUGCGAGACGCUUGCUUAAGUCCAUAAAUGGACUUCUCAAGCUUACACACUCUAUUCGGAUGCUUCGGAUCCACAAACCCCUCUGGCUGAGCCAUGUAAACAUCCUCAGCCAACUUUCCGUUAAGGAAAGCGGUCUUGACAUCCAUUUGCCAAAUCUCAUAAUCAUGAAAUGCGGCAAUUGCUAGCAUCACUCUAAUAGAUUUAAUCUUCGCAACUGGUGAGAAGGUCUCAUCAUAGUCAACUCCGGGAGUUUGAGUAAAGCCCUUCGCGACCAAUCGCGCUUUAUAUGUGUGUACGUUCCCAUCCACGUCGGUCUUCUUCUUGAAGAUCCAUUUGCACCCAACGGUCUUACGUCCGGGCACGUAAUCAACCAAAUUCCAAACUUGGUUAUCAUACAUGGAUUGGAUCUCGCUAUCCAUUGCCUCUUUCCAUUUUGCAGACUCCGGGCCUGCCAUGGCUUCCUUAUAGCUAUUAGGUUCAUCAAGAUUUAUUAGUGUACCAUCACUAAUAUACGUGUCCCCUUCGGUAGUAAUAUGAAAGCCAUAAAACUGGGGAUGAACUCUAACUCUAUCGGAACGUCUAAGAGGUAAGGAUUCGUCAAUCGGUUCAACCGGAGUUUCCUCCUCGGGUUGAAUGCCAGCGGUAGAGGUUCCUUCAUCUAUCGACUCUUGAAUCUCUUCAAGUUCGAUUUGCCUCCCACUGUCUCCUUGGCUUAUGAGUUCUCGCUCUCGGAAAACUCCUCUCCUCGCAACAAAGACAACAUUGUCUUUCGGUCUAUAGAAGAGAUAUCCAAAGGAUGUUUGCGGGUAGCCGAUGAAAAUACAUCGCUCACUUCGAGGUUCAAGCUUGUCGUGAGUAUCUCGUCUUACGAAAGCCUCACAACCCCAAACCUUGAUAUGUGCCAACGAGGGAGCUUUCCCCGUCCACAUCUCGUGAGGUGUUUUGGCAACCUUCUUAGUAGGGACUCGGUUAAGGAUAUGGGCGGCAGUCUCUAAGGCAUACCCCCAAAAAGAGAUAGAUAGUGAAGCACGACUCAUCAUAGAGCGAACCAUGUCCAACAAGGUUCGAUUACGCCUUUCUGCCACACCAUUCAAUUGUGGUGUCCUAGGUGGCGUCAAUUGUGAAACUAUUCCACACUCCUUGAGAUAAUCGUGGAAUUCAAGACUUAGGUACUCUCCUCCUCGAUCGGAUCGAAGCAUCUUGAUCUUCCUGCCCAAUUGAUUCUCCAUUUCAUUCUUAAACUCUUUGAACUUUUCAAAAGUUUCUGACUUUUGCUUGAUUAAGUAGAUAUACCCAUAUCUACUAUAGUCAUCGGUAAAAGUCACGUAGAAACGGUUUCCAUCCUUUAUGGUAGAUCUAAACGGUCCACAUACAUCGGUAUGUAUGAGGUCCAAUAGACCUUCACCCCUUUCGCACGUACCAGCAAAGGGUGACUUAGUCAUCUUUCCAAGUAAACAAGACUCGCAUGUGCAUCUUCCCUAAGGUCGAAUGACUCCAACACUCCAUUCUUUUGGAGGUUGGCUAUGCGUUUCUUGUUGACAUGUCCAAGAGGACAAUGCUAUAAGGAUGCCUUAUCCAUACUAUUGGAAGAAUCCAAGUACAAAACAUCAUUUCCUAAGUUAUCAACAAUCAUAACAGUUUCAUAAAUUCCAUUACAUGGUAUAACUUCAAAGUAAAAGACACCAUUUAGAUAAGCUAAAAUAGAACCAUUCUCAUUAUUAAAAGAAAAUCUAAAACCUUGUGUAAACAAACCAUGAAAAGAAAUGAUGUUUCUAGCCAUUUCUGGCGAAUAGCAACAAUUGUUCAAAUCUAAAGAUAAACUAUUCCUAAGCACUAAAGAAUACACUCCAAUCUUGGUCACAGGCGACGAUCUUCUGUUCCCCAUGAUUGGAUUUAUUCUUCCAUGCUCCACGUCUCUACUUCUUCUUUGUCCCUGCACAUUAGAACAAAUAUGAUAACCACAACCGGUAUCAAGAACCCAAGAAGUAUUGUUGGAAUCAUUAGAUUUAAUUGUAUAUAUACUUGU